RNAcentral lists this ribosomal RNA (2900 nucleotides) under Klebsiella pneumoniae. Its description in RNAcentral is "23S ribosomal RNA". It matches the Rfam family "Bacterial large subunit ribosomal RNA". The record is from RNAcentral. Lineage: Bacteria; Pseudomonadati; Pseudomonadota; Gammaproteobacteria; Enterobacterales; Enterobacteriaceae.
UUAAGCGACUAAGCGUACACGGUGGAUGCCCUGGCAGUCAGAGGCGAUGAAGGACGUGCUAAUCUGCGAAAAGCGUCGGUAAGGUGAUAUGAACCGUUAUAGCCGGCGAUGUCCGAAUGGGGAAACCCAGUGCAAUUCGUUGCACUAUCGUUAACUGAAUACAUAGGUUAACGAGGCGAACCGGGGGAACUGAAACAUCUAAGUACCCCGAGGAAAAGAAAUCAACCGAGAUUCCCCCAGUAGCGGCGAGCGAACGGGGAGCAGCCCAGAGUCUGAAUCAGCUUGUGUGUUAGUGGAACGGUCUGGAAAGUCCGACGGUACAGGGUGAUAGUCCCGUACACCAAAAUGCACAGGCUGUGAACUCGAAGAGUAGGGCGGGACACGUGGUAUCCUGUCUGAAUAUGGGGGGACCAUCCUCCAAGGCUAAAUACUCCUGACUGACCGAUAGUGAACCAGUACCGUGAGGGAAAGGCGAAAAGAACCCCGGCGAGGGGAGUGAAAAAGAACCUGAAACCGUGUACGUACAAGCAGUGGGAGCACCUUCGGGUGUGACUGCGUACCUUUUGUAUAAUGGGUCAGCGACUUAUAUUCUGUAGCAAGGUUAACCGUAUAGGGGAGCCGCAGGGAAACCGAGUCUUAACUGGGCGUUAAGUUGCAGGGUAUAGACCCGAAACCCGGUGAUCUAGCCAUGGGCAGGUUGAAGGUUGGGUAACACUAACUGGAGGACCGAACCGACUAAUGUUGAAAAAUUAGCGGAUGACUUGUGGCUGGGGGUGAAAGGCCAAUCAAACCGGGAGAUAGCUGGUUCUCCCCGAAAGCUAUUUAGGUAGCGCCUCGUGAACUCAUCUUCGGGGGUAGAGCACUGUUUCGGCUAGGGGGUCAUCCCGACUUACCAACCCGAUGCAAACUACGAAUACCGAAGAAUGUUAUCACGGGAGACACACGGCGGGUGCUAACGUCCGUCGUGAAGAGGGAAACAACCCAGACCGCCAGCUAAGGUCCCAAAGUCAUGGUUAAGUGGGAAACGAUGUGGGAAGGCACAGACAGCCAGGAUGUUGGCUUAGAAGCAGCCAUCAUUUAAAGAAAGCGUAAUAGCUCACUGGUCGAGUCGGCCUGCGCGGAAGAUGUAACGGGGCUAAACCAUGCACCGAAGCUGCGGCAGCGACACUAUGUGUUGUUGGGUAGGGGAGCGUUCUGUAAGCCUGCGAAGGUGACCUGUGAGGGUUGCUGGAGGUAUCAGAAGUGCGAAUGCUGACAUAAGUAACGAUAAAGCGGGUGAAAAGCCCGCUCGCCGGAAGACCAAGGGUUCCUGUCCAACGUUAAUCGGGGCAGGGUGAGUCGACCCCUAAGGCGAGGCCGAAAGGCGUAGUCGAUGGGAAACAGGUUAAUAUUCCUGUACUUGGUGUUACUGCGAAGGGGGGACGGAGAAGGCUAUGUUAGCCGGGCGACGGUUGUCCCGGUUUAAGCAUGUAGGCUGGUUGUCCAGGCAAAUCCGGAUAAUCAAGGCUGAGGUGUGAUGACGAGGCACUACGGUGCUGAAGUAACAAAUGCCCUGCUUCCAGGAAAAGCCUCUAAGCAUCAGGUAACAUCAAAUCGUACCCCAAACCGACACAGGUGGUCAGGUAGAGAAUACCAAGGCGCUUGAGAGAACUCGGGUGAAGGAACUAGGCAAAAUGGUGCCGUAACUUCGGGAGAAGGCACGCUGGUGUGUAGGUGAAGUCCCUGCGGAUGGAGCUGAGACCAGUCGAAGAUACCAGCUGGCUGCAACUGUUUAUUAAAAACACAGCACUGUGCAAACACGAAAGUGGACGUAUACGGUGUGACGCCUGCCCGGUGCCGGAAGGUUAAUUGAUGGGGUUAUCCGUAAGGAGAAGCUCUUGAUCGAAGCCCCGGUAAACGGCGGCCGUAACUAUAACGGUCCUAAGGUAGCGAAAUUCCUUGUCGGGUAAGUUCCGACCUGCACGAAUGGCGUAAUGAUGGCCAGGCUGUCUCCACCCGAGACUCAGUGAAAUUGAACUCGCUGUGAAGAUGCAGUGUACCCGCGGCAAGACGGAAAGACCCCGUGAACCUUUACUAUAGCUUGACACUGAACAUUGAGCCUUGAUGUGUAGGAUAGGUGGGAGGCUUUGAAGCGUGGACGCCAGUCUGCGUGGAGCCAACCUUGAAAUACCACCCUUUAAUGUUUGAUGUUCUAACGUUGGCCCCUGACCGGGGUUGCGGACAGUGUCUGGUGGGUAGUUUGACUGGGGCGGUCUCCUCCCAAAGCGUAACGGAGGAGCACGAAGGUUAGCUAAUCCUGGUCGGACAUCAGGAGGUUAGUGCAAUGGCAUAAGCUAGCUUGACUGCGAGCGUGACGGCGCGAGCAGGUGCGAAAGCAGGUCAUAGUGAUCCGGUGGUUCUGAAUGGAAGGGCCAUCGCUCAACGGAUAAAAGGUACUCCGGGGAUAACAGGCUGAUACCGCCCAAGAGUUCAUAUCGACGGCGGUGUUUGGCACCUCGAUGUCGGCUCAUCACAUCCUGGGGCUGAAGUAGGUCCCAAGGGUAUGGCUGUUCGCCAUUUAAAGUGGUACGCGAGCUGGGUUUAGAACGUCGUGAGACAGUUCGGUCCCUAUCUGCCGUGGGCGCUGGAGAAUUGAGGGGGGCUGCUCCUAGUACGAGAGGACCGGAGUGGACGCAUCACUGGUGUUCGGGUUGUCAUGCCAAUGGCACUGCCCGGUAGCUAAAUGCGGAAGAGAUAAGUGCUGAAAGCAUCUAAGCACGAAACUUGCCCCGAGAUGAGUUCUCCCUGAGACUUUAAGUCUCCUGAAGGAACGUUGAAGACGACGACGUUGAUAGGCCGGGUGUGUAAGCGCAGCGAUGCGUUGAGCUAACCGGUACUAAUGAACCGUGAGGCUUAACCUU